UGGGGAAUUUUGCACAAUGGGGGAAACCCUGAUGCAGCGACGCCUCGUGAUUUAGAAGGCCUUCGGGUUGUAAAAAUCUUUUCUAUGGGAAGAAAAUGACAGUACCAUAGGAAUAAGGACCGGCUAAUUACGUGCCAGCAGCCGCGGUAAUACGUAAGGUCCGAGCGUUGUCCGGAAUCAUUGGGCGUAAAGGGUACGUAGGCGGGUAAGCAAGUUAGAAGUGAAAUCCUAUAGCUCAACUAUAGUAAGCUUUUAAAACUGCUCAUCUUGAGGUAUGGAAGGGAAAGUGGAAUUCCUAGUGUAGCGGUGAAAUGCGCAGAUAUUAGGAGGAAUACCGGUGGCGAAGGCGACUUUCUGGCCAUAACCUGACGCUGAGGUACGAAAGCGUGGGUAGCAAACAGG
This 402-nucleotide ribosomal RNA is filed under the name bacterium. RNAcentral's name for it is "partial 16S ribosomal RNA". It matches the Rfam family "Bacterial small subunit ribosomal RNA", at positions 355 to 776 of the family's 1533-position model. The record is from RNAcentral.